GAUGAACGCUGGCUACAGGCUUAACACAUGCAAGUCGAGGGGAAACGACGGGGAAGCUUGCUUCCCCGGGCGUCGACCGGCGCACGGGUGAGUAACGCGUAUCCAACCUGCCUCUGACUGAGGGAUAACCCGUCGAAAGUCGGCCUAAUACCUCAUGGCAUCGUCUGCGGGCAUCCAACGACGAUUAAAGAUUUCAUCGGUCAGGGAUGGGGAUGCGUCUGAUUAGCUUGUUAGCGGGGUAACGGCCCACCAAGGCUACGAUCAGUAGGGGUUCUGAGAGGAAGGUCCCCCACAUUGGAACUGAGACACGGUCCAAACUCCUACGGGAGGCAGCAGUGAGGAAUAUUGGUCAAUGGGCGGGAGCCUGAACCAGCCAAGUAGCGUGCAGGAUGACGGCCCUAUGGGUUGUAAACUGCUUUUAUGCGGGGAUAAAGUGAGGGACGUGUCCUUCAUUGCAGGUACCGCAUGAAUAAGGACCGGCUAAUUCCGUG
This 491-nucleotide ribosomal RNA is filed under the name uncultured bacterium. Its description in RNAcentral is "partial 16S ribosomal RNA". It matches the Rfam family "Bacterial small subunit ribosomal RNA", at positions 28 to 507 of the family's 1533-position model. The record is from RNAcentral.